Molecule: ribosomal RNA, 699 nt
Filed under: uncultured bacterium
Lineage: Bacteria
Description: bacterial SSU rRNA
Rfam family: Bacterial small subunit ribosomal RNA
Source: RNAcentral
AGAGUUUGAUUCCUGGCUCAGAUUGAACGCUGGCGGCAUGCCUAACACAUGCAAGUCGAACGGAAACGAUGGGAGCUUGCUCCCAGGCGUCGAGUGGCGGACGGGUGAGUAAUACUUAGGAAUCUGCCCAGUAGUGGGGGACAACUCGAGGAAACUCGAGCUAAUACCGCAUACGCCCCAAGGGGGAAAGCGGAGGAUCUUUCGGGACUUCGCGCUAUUGGAUGAGCCUAAGUCGGAUUAGCUUGUUGGUGAGGUAAAAGCUCACCAAGGCGACGAUCCGUAGCUGGUCUGAGAGGACGAUCAGCCACACUGGGACUGAGACACGGCCCAGACUCCUACGGGAGGCAGCAGUGGGGAAUAUUGGACAAUGGGGGAAACCCUGAUCCAGCAAUGCCGCGUGUGUGAAGAAGGCCUGCGGGUUGUAAAGCACUUUCAGUAGAGAAGAAAAGCCUAGGGUUAAUACCCCUGGGUCUUGACGUUACCUACAGAAGAAGCUCCGGCUAACUCCGUGCCAGCAGCCGCGGUAAUACGGAGGGAGCGAGCGUUAAUCGGAAUUACUGGGCGUAAAGCGCGCGUAGGCGGCUUUGUAAGUCGGAUGUGAAAGCCCUGGGCUCAACCUGGGAAUGGCAUUCGAUACUGCAUAACUAGAGUAUGGUAGAGGGAAGUGGAAUUUCCGGUGUAGCGGUGAAAUGCGUAGAU